RNAcentral lists this ribosomal RNA (253 nucleotides) under uncultured bacterium. RNAcentral describes it as "partial 16S ribosomal RNA". It matches the Rfam family "Archaeal small subunit ribosomal RNA", at positions 474 to 727 of the family's 1478-position model. The record is from RNAcentral.
UACCAGCACCCCGAGUGGUCGGGACGAUUAUUGGGCCUAAAGCAUCCGUAGCCGGUUUUACAAGUCCUCCGUUAAAUCCAACUGCUUAACAGGUGGGCCGCGGAGGAUACUAUAAGACUAGGAGGCAGGAGAGGCAAGCGGUACUCAGUGGGUAGGGGUAAAAUCCGUUGAUCCAUUGAAGACCACCAGUGGCGAAGGCGGCUUGCCAGAAUGCGCUCGACGGUGAGGGAUGAAAGCGGGGGGAGCAAACGGG